CUGGAUGUAGCUCAGUGGUAGAGCACUUCCCUCUUAUGGGAGAGGCCUUGGGUUCAAUCGCCAGUGUCUUAU
Molecule: transfer RNA, 72 nt
Filed under: Marmota marmota marmota (Alpine marmot)
Lineage: Eukaryota; Metazoa; Chordata; Mammalia; Rodentia; Sciuridae
Also listed under: 1 other name
Rfam family: tRNA
About the family: Transfer RNA (tRNA) molecules are approximately 80 nucleotides in length.
Source: Rfam by way of RNAcentral